Long non-coding RNA from Arvicola amphibius (Eurasian water vole), 695 nucleotides. RefSeq lists it as uncharacterized. The record is from RefSeq and is a predicted model, not a curated record. The transcript has 3 exons. NCBI's taxonomy places the organism in Eukaryota, Metazoa, Chordata, Mammalia, Rodentia, Cricetidae.
AUUGAAUGUGCCCAUCAAAGAACUUGGGACCAUGGAAAUUGAAGUUCUCUAAGGUGGCAACUGAAAAAUCUUGACCUGUGGCCCGCACUAGCUAUACCUCGUUGAAACAGAGCCGGGGUAGACUUGUUUACACGUUGGAAAGCACUUUCUUCAUACACCUCCUCUGUUUUCUCAGAGACCAGGAAACGGUCUCCAGGGAGAGCAUCAACUCAGUGUCAGGAGGAAAGAGAUUUGCACGGUUCAGUUAACUGAACAAGUUCUAGCAGUCAAAUUCCGACGCGAUGCUGAACGUAGUGGCUAUUUAAUCGGUGAUCUGUGUUGACCUACAUUGGGUUGGGGUUCACCAUCGCGUUGGGAGUUCUCCGGCCCCACGUCCAAAUUUUGAACGUUCACUCCCACGCGAAGGUCUCAGAACUCCGGAAGAUAACUUAGGCACAGACACUGUGGCGCCACUGGGCAGCUCUGCCAAAUUUUAAGUCAUGCUCCCUGCAGUGCCUUUAGCUAUGUUCAAAAAGAAAAGAGGCACCCACGAAAUCAACGUUCAGCAAGCGGCUCCCUUCUGCCAGUGCUUUCUUUGCACCUGCACGUCUCCAGGAUGGCACGGUGUUUGACCUGAAUGCAGACAUGUUCAUGGGGUAUGACUGGUGAUCAAAAGAGGAUACCACACCCCUUGGAACUGGAGUUACAAAUAGAUG